AGCGAACGCUGGCGGCAGGCUUAACACAUGCAAGUCGAACGCUCGUAGCAAUACGGGAGUGGCAGACGGGUGAGUAACGCGUGGGAAUAUGCCUUCUGGUUCGGAAUAACUCAGGGAGACUCGAGCUAAUACCGGAUAAGCCCGAGAGGGGAAAGAUUUAUCGCCAAAAGAUUAGCCCGCGUCCGAUUAGCUAGUUGGUGAGGUAAUGGCUCACCAAGGCGACGAUCGGUAGCUGGUCUGAGAGGAUGAUCAGCCACACUGGGACUGAGACACGGCCCAGACUCCUACGGGAGGCAGCAGUGGGGAAUAUUGGACAAUGGGCGCAAGCCUGAUCCAGCCAUGCCGCGUGAGUGAUGAAGGCCUUAGGGUUGUAAAGCUCUUUUGUCCGGGAAGAUAAUGACUGUACCGGAAGAAUAAGCCCCGGCUAACUUCGUGCCAGCAGCCGCGGUAA
This 451-nucleotide ribosomal RNA is filed under the name uncultured bacterium. Its description in RNAcentral is "partial 16S ribosomal RNA". It matches the Rfam family "Bacterial small subunit ribosomal RNA", at positions 29 to 523 of the family's 1533-position model. The record is from RNAcentral.